AUUUCCAUGAAAAAAGCUGAAUGAUGCUGUUUUCAUUGCAAAUAGAAAACAUAACAUCAAGAUUGAAGUGUUGGUUGGAAAUGACAACCUGCGCGCUCGUCCCUCGACGCGUCCCGCUUUGAGAGGCUUUGCCUCUCCGACGCUUCCCCAGCCGCCACGUGAAAUCAGAGAGCAGCAGCGUUCAAAGGAAAGGCCGCACCCCCCCCCCCCCCCGUCGAAACAAUCCACAUGACGCAACACUGGAAGUCAGCACGUGACGCAGCGCGAGGAGAUCGAGCAGAUGUGAUGUUGAGAAAGAAAGAAGCGGAGAUUAAGUCAAGUUCAAAUGGGUCAUGUUAUAAACCUCAAGAUAGCAAGGAUGAUGGAGGGAUUAUCCAACACGACCAGGACGGCUAAUCAAAGGCACAUUCUGAAGAUUUGAAGGGAAGGUUGACCACGACGGAAAAAGUAUGAUUGACGUUAAUCCUUGUGGGUGGAUUAAAGAACCAUGUACAAUUCUAACGUCGUGUCACUUCCCUUUCACACAUCUAUCUCCGUAUGAAAGGAGACACUCCACUCAUAAAAUACAAAGUAAAGAUGUGUUUUGAACGGUCAGACAGGUGGAUAGAAUACGAAGUUACUUCCUUUAUUUAUUUAGCUUUAAAUUGAGCUUUUGCGCUUUGUGCCUAAUACCUAAAUGUAAUCCUGUAAGGCAAUUAACACAGUCUCCUGACCGGAAUAGUGUGUUAAUAAAUGAUAAUGGCAGCUGUAAUUCUGGCUUCUAUCUUUACUUAGAAUGCAUCAGAUUAAAUCUGAUUCAAAUAUAUCUAUGUGCUGUUAUGCCAUCACAACUAGAUAAUCUCAUUAUGGACCUACCCGGGAUUUAUUUUCCAUCUCCGUCACGUCUUUUUGCUGUAAAAUUUAAAUAGUCCAUUAGAAAGUAAUAUGUGUCACUUAAAAAAAGAUGACACGUUCCUUAAAGUAACAUGUGUGAGCAUGUAGACAGUCACAGCUGGCAUUUACAAUCUUUUGCAAUCAUUUUUCCAUUGGUUUUUCCCUUCGAAAGUUUAAACUGUGAGGAUAAAAAUUGGGACGUAUUUUCAAGGUUCAUUUAAAAGUGCCCGUCGUGGGGUGCAGCACUUCGGACAUCGGCUGUAACAACUCCCCCCUUACAAUACAUUAUCCAAUACACUUGAAAUCCUGGUAGAGUAAAAUGAUAUUGUUUCAGAUUAAUUACAUAUGUGUUUUAUUUGUUGUUUGCAGAAUUAAAUGCUGAAAGAAAAGUUACUGCUGGAAGUUCCAAUAGAAAAACCUUAAACUUUUUUGAAAUUUAGCUUUUACAACCAACAGCAGUGAAAGGUCUCAGUUUCAUGUUUUUUUCAAAUGGAUUGACGGACUGAUCUGUACCCUGUUUUUCUCAUUCAUGUCCUCCGGGCUUCCUCUCAGUCACUCUGACAAAAACUGCUACAUUCCGACGUAUCAUUAUUAAACAUUUCUGCCAUUUUUACUGUUUG
Molecule: long non-coding RNA, 1493 nt
Organism: Gasterosteus aculeatus aculeatus (three-spined stickleback)
Lineage: Eukaryota; Metazoa; Chordata; Actinopteri; Perciformes; Gasterosteidae
Source: Ensembl